UUAAGUUAUUAAGGGCGCACGGUGGAUGCCUUGGCACUAGAAGCCGAUGAAGGACGUUACUAACGACGAUAUGCUUUGGGGAGCUGUAAGUAAGCUUUGAUCCAGAGAUUUCCGAAUGGGGAAACCCAGCAUGAGUUAUGUCAUGUUAUCGAUAUGUGAAUACAUAGCAUAUCAGAAGGCAUACCCGGAGAACUGAAACAUCUUAGUACCCGGAGGAAGAGAAAGAAAAUUCGAUUCCCUUAGUAGCGGCGAGCGAAACGGGAAGAGCCCAAACCAACAAGCUUGCUUGUUGGGGUUGUAGGACACUCUAUACGGAGUUACAAAGGACGACAUUAGACGAAUCAUCUGGAAAGAUGAAUCAAAGAAGGUAAUAAUCCUGUAGUCGAAAAUGUUGUCUCUCUUGAGUGGAUCCUGAGUACGACGGAGCACGUGAAAUUCCGUCGGAAUCUGGGAGGACCAUCUCCUAAGGCUAAAUACUCUCUAGUGACCGAUAGUGAACCAGUACCGUGAGGGAAAGGUGAAAAGCACCCCGGAAGGGGAGUGAAAUAGAACCUGAAACCGUGUGCUUACAAGUAGUCAGAGCCCGUUAAUGGGUGAUGGCGUGCCUUUUGUAGAAUGAACCGGCGAGUUACGAUUUGAUGCAAGGUUAAGCAGUAAAUGUGGAGCCGUAGCGAAAGCGAGUCUGAAUAGGGCGUUUAGUAUUUGGUCGUAGACCCGAAACCAGGUGAUCUACCCUUGGUCAGGUUGAAGUUCAGGUAACACUGAAUGGAGGACCGAACCGACUUACGUUGAAAAGUGAGCGGAUGAACUGAGGGUAGCGGAGAAAUUCCAAUCGAACCUGGAGAUAGCUGGUUCUCUCCGAAAUAGCUUUAGGGCUAGCCUCAAGUGAUGAUUAUUGGAGGUAGAGCACUGUUUGGACGAGGGGCCCCUCUCGGGUUACCGAAUUCAGACAAACUCCGAAUGCCAAUUAAUUUAACUUGGGAGUCAGAACAUGGGUGAUAAGGUCCGUGUUCGAAAGGGAAACAGCCCAGACCACCAGCUAAGGUCCCAAAAUAUAUGUUAAGUGGAAAAGGAUGUGGCGUUGCCCAGACAACUAGGAUGUUGGCUUAGAAGCAGCCAUCAUUUAAAGAGUGCGUAAUAGCUCACUAGUCGAGUGACACUGCGCCGAAAAUGUACCGGGGCUAAACAUAUUACCGAAGCUGUGGAUUGUCCUUUGGACAAUGGUAGGAGAGCGUUCUAAGGGCGUUGAAGCAUGAUCGUAAGGACAUGUGGAGCGCUUAGAAGUGAGAAUGCCGGUGUGAGUAGCGAAAGACGGGUGAGAAUCCCGUCCACCGAUUGACUAAGGUUUCCAGAGGAAGGCUCGUCCGCUCUGGGUUAGUCGGGUCCUAAGCUGAGGCCGACAGGCGUAGGCGAUGGAUAACAGGUUGAUAUUCCUGUACCACCUAUAAUCGUUUUAAUCGAUGGGGGGACGCAGUAGGAUAGGCGAAGCGUGCGAUUGGAUUGCACGUCUAAGCAGUAAGGCUGAGUAUUAGGCAAAUCCGGUACUCGUUAAGGCUGAGCUGUGAUGGGGAGAAGACAUUGUGUCUUCGAGUCGUUGAUUUCACACUGCCGAGAAAAGCCUCUAGAUAGAAAAUAGGUGCCCGUACCGCAAACCGACACAGGUAGUCAAGAUGAGAAUUCUAAGGUGAGCGAGCGAACUCUCGUUAAGGAACUCGGCAAAAUGACCCCGUAACUUCGGGAGAAGGGGUGCUCUUUAGGGUUAACGCCCAGAAGAGCCGCAGUGAAUAGGCCCAAGCGACUGUUUAUCAAAAACACAGGUCUCUGCUAAACCGUAAGGUGAUGUAUAGGGGCUGACGCCUGCCCGGUGCUGGAAGGUUAAGAGGAGUGGUUAGCUUCUGCGAAGCUACGAAUCGAAGCCCCAGUAAACGGCGGCCGUAACUAUAACGGUCCUAAGGUAGCGAAAUUCCUUGUCGGGUAAGUUCCGACCCGCACGAAAGGCGUAACGAUUUGGGCACUGUCUCAACGAGAGACUCGGUGAAAUCAUAGUACCUGUGAAGAUGCAGGUUACCCGCGACAGGACGGAAAGACCCCGUGGAGCUUUACUGUAGCCUGAUAUUGAAAUUCGGCACAGCUUGUACAGGAUAGGUAGGAGCCUUUGAAACGUGAGCGCUAGCUUACGUGGAGGCGCUGGUGGGAUACUACCCUAGCUGUGUUGGNNNNNNNUUUCUAACCCGCACCACUUAUCGUGGUGGGAGACAGUGUCAGGCGGGCAGUUUGACUGGGGCGGUCGCCUCCUAAAAGGUAACGGAGGCGCUCAAAGGUUCCCUCAGAAUGGUUGGAAAUCAUUCAUAGAGUGUAAAGGCAUAAGGGAGCUUGACUGCGAGACCUACAAGUCGAGCAGGGUCGAAAGACGGACUUAGUGAUCCGGUGGUUCCGCAUGGAAGGGCCAUCGCUCAACGGAUAAAAGCUACCCCGGGGAUAACAGGCUUAUCUCCCCCAAGAGUUCACAUCGACGGGGAGGUUUGGCACCUCGAUGUCGGCUCAUCGCAUCCUGGGGCUGUAGUCGGUCCCAAGGGUUGGGCUGUUCGCCCAUUAAAGCGGUACGCGAGCUGGGUUCAGAACGUCGUGAGACAGUUCGGUCCCUAUCCGUCGUGGGCGUAGGAAAUUUGAGAGGAGCUGUCCUUAGUACGAGAGGACCGGGAUGGACAUACCUCUGGUGUACCAGUUGUCGUGCCAACGGCAUAGCUGGGUAGCUAUGUGUGGACGGGAUAAGUGCUGAAAGCAUCUAAGCAUGAAGCCCCCCUCAAGAUGAGAUUUCCCAACUUCGGUUAUAAGAUCCCUCAAAGAUGAUGAGGUUAAUAGGUUCGAGGUGGAAGCAUGGUGACAUGUGGAGCUGACGAAUACUAAUCGAUCGAAGACUUAAUCAA
RNAcentral lists this ribosomal RNA (2927 nucleotides) under Staphylococcus aureus. Its description in RNAcentral is "23S ribosomal RNA". It matches the Rfam family "Bacterial large subunit ribosomal RNA". The record is from RNAcentral. Lineage: Bacteria; Bacillati; Bacillota; Bacilli; Caryophanales; Staphylococcaceae.